UACAGAAAAGCAAUGAGCCAAUAAGCGUAACUCAUCAUUAUGCAUCAGUGCUUAAAUAAGAAAUAUCAAGCGUGGCCUUUCUUCAAAGAUAGGGAGAGUUAAAGAGAAUAUUCAACCCUUUUUUGUUGAGACACAAGAGAUGGAAAAAUGGAUAAUGCAAAAGAGAGCCUGCCAGCUCAAGGUGUUCUUGGCAGCCCCGCUUCUCAAAAUGUCUGUCUCUUCCAGAGGAACAUCAGGUACCACAAGACCUGCAGCAUGGUAAUACAUAUGCAACUUGAUUGUCACAGUGAGAAUAGAACUUCACAACAGCAACAAAGUGCCAUAUUACUAACAUCACUGUACAGCGUGUAAACUAUUGUCAUGUAAAAUAUAGCUGUGGAUAUAUGUCUAUGUCUAUGCUGUUAUGCAGCUUUUAAUUCCUCAAUCUUCUACCUGAAAUCUUGUGCACUAGUAAAAACUAACAUACAGGAGAAGCGGUGCCGCAUUUCAGAUAAUUAACAAGGUGGCCAUAUGAGUUGAAUGACAUUUUAAUGUAGAACAUCACUUAACCUAUGGGAAACUAUAAGGCAUUACCAUGUGCACCGGCUUCUUUAACAACAGACAUGAAGUUGGUGACACCAUGCUUCAGGAUCGGGUUGUAAUAUGUGAAAAGCGCUAGAAGGCAGGACAUAUCAGGUACCACCUCUUUCACCAUUGAGACACCAUCCUCAAAUGUUCCCCCCUAACCCCCUUAAAAGAUCUUUUGGGCAGCUAAUGUCGAUGCUGUUAAUGCCAAUUCAAGAAAGAUGGAGCAACGGAAAAAUGAUCUGAAGGUAAUUCAUACAGCUAUAGUGUUUCCUUGGGGUUUAACUUGUAUAGCUACUGUUGACUUGUUAUGUGUCAUGUACAUCUAAACACAGGCUCUUGAAGCUACUUUGGAGCAGACUGUGCAAGAUGAGGGACUUGGAACAGUUGAUGAGCAGCAGGAGCACCGAGCACGUAUCUUGUCAAGCAAGAUGAGUAUAUGAAGAAAAUCCGAGAUUUAGGCUCAAUUGCCUGCUGAUGCUAAACUGGCUAACUAAGCCGCACAAUACCUUUUUUUAUAGUGUUAACCAUGCUGUAGUUAUUUUCUGGCCAAUAAUAAAGGUACAAGAGAAAGAACAAGCAGCAGCUGCUUUAUGACUGCACUGAGCAUUUGAAGUAAUUAGUCCUUCCUGAACUUCACUGAACAGCGGAGAAGACGCGCUGAACUUGAUGCUGAUGACGAGAAAUUAGAGAGUUGAUAUCAGUUUUAGACCAAGGAAGGAUGAAUCAAUUGAACACAUAUUUAAAGGAGUUUGCGAGGCACUUCCGUGAAGUGUUCUCUUAAUCAGUGCAAGGUGGCCACGGAUACUUGGUUAUGAUGAGGAAAAAGGGUGGUGAUGCUGGCGAUGAUGACAUUGAUGAGGACGCGGCUCGUGAACCAGAUCCUGAAGGUAGUAUAGAGAAGUAUAUUGGUGUGGAAGUCAAGGCAUGUGUUCUUUGCAGAGAUCUGUUAUGUAUUCAUGCACAUAUUAUUCGAAAUCUAUCAUAGAAAUUUAGAUGAUACUAUUUCCCAAGCUGUCCUGUCAAAAAAAAACUAUUCCCCAGUUAGUAAGCUCUUCCCGAAUCACUAUGGUGAUGACACCCUGUUUGUUUUUUCCUCAAAUUUGUUAAAGGCUGUGUGUUUGGAGACUCAUGCUUAGUCAUGUUUCAGGUUUCCUUCACUGGCAAGGGAGAAACUCUGUUCUGUCUGCCUCAUCAAUAAAAAUGGGGCGGGGGGGAAACCCCUAUCUUUCAAAAAAAAAAGAAAGGCAGUGGUGGCAUUAACACUGAUCUUCACUAUCCAACGAUGUGAUCCAGCUCCGUUCUACCUGUUUAUCCUCGCCAUAGAAGAGCCUUCAUAUGCCUGUUUUUUGAAACGAACAUCUCCUGGUCUAGUGUCUGUCUAGCUGGGUAUGCCCAACUAUGCCCUCCUGUGUUCAUUGAGCUGAAUCACAUGGUAUACAGCUGCUGCUGGGAACAUCCAUCCGAAUAUUUGCCGCUGCUUUCGGCAAGUCCUGUUGUGGGCGUGGUCAGGCGUCUGGCCGACCUGGUGGACACGCAGUUCAUAGCCACCACAUUGAGGCCAGAGAUCCUCAAGGUGGCGGACAAGAUCUACGGAACAGGGUGAGCUAUAUCAACGUGGCGUCCAAGGAGCAGAGCAGGCCAUGGACUUUGUCGAGCAUGACCAGACGCACAACGCCAGCUGAGGCCGACAGAAGCUCUGCCCAGACCGUGCGUGUUGUUCAUCUUAACAUUUUCAGUUAAAUCUUGGCAGCCCUUAUCAUACGCACGACUAUCUUUGUUUCCCGCGGAAAGAUGCUAGCACAGGAAGGCGUGUGUGUUGGCAUUCCUCUACUCCUGGACAUUGUAGGCCACUAGCUGUGUAUAUGUAGUUAGCCUUUGGACUGGUAACCUGUUUGAGUAUGCUUAGGAGUCGUUGGAUUGGUAAAAUUUGUUUAAGUAUGCUUUGGGAACAUGAGCGUGAUUGGAAACGCACGUUUUU
Molecule: long non-coding RNA, 2545 nt
Organism: Triticum aestivum (bread wheat)
Lineage: Eukaryota; Viridiplantae; Streptophyta; Magnoliopsida; Poales; Poaceae
Exons: 3
Source: RefSeq, a predicted model, not a curated record